GCAGAUAUAGUUCAGUGGUAGAACACGACCUUGCCAAGGUCGUUAUGUGAGUUCGAUUCUCAUUAUCUGCUCCA
This 74-nucleotide transfer RNA is filed under the name Mycoplasmataceae bacterium. Its description in RNAcentral is "tRNA-Gly". It matches the Rfam family "tRNA". From Rfam's summary of the family: Transfer RNA (tRNA) molecules are approximately 80 nucleotides in length. Their secondary structure includes four short double-helical elements and three loops (D, anti-codon, and T loops). The record is from RNAcentral. Lineage: Bacteria; Bacillati; Mycoplasmatota; Mollicutes; Mycoplasmatales; Mycoplasmataceae.